This 532-nucleotide ribosomal RNA is filed under the name uncultured Thalassiosira. Its description in RNAcentral is "partial 16S ribosomal RNA". It matches the Rfam family "Bacterial small subunit ribosomal RNA", at positions 77 to 561 of the family's 1533-position model. Lineage: Eukaryota; Bacillariophyta; Thalassiosirophyceae; Thalassiosirales; Thalassiosiraceae. The record is from RNAcentral.
UACUAUAUUAAAAUAUCGCAGCGAACGGGUGAGGAAUACGCAAAUAUUUUCUGUCUACCUUUUAAUUUAAGAUAAACUAUACCUAUCAAAAACUUUGAUUUUUUUUAGGGUAAAACUAUUUUCUUAGUUUGUAGUAAUAUUGAAUAGUUUUUUAGUUUUAAACUACUAAAAAGAUAAAAAUUGUAAAAUAAGCAAUUGUUAAAAGAUGAGUUUGUGGAAGAUUAGGUUGUUGGUAGAAAUAAAAGUUUACCAAGCCUUUGAUCUUUAGUUGGUCUUAGAGGACGUACAACCACACUGGAACUGAGACAAGGUCCAGGCUAAUUUUUUGGCCAGCAGUGAGGAAUAUUGGACAAUGAACGAAAGUUUGAUCCAGCAAUAUUAUGUGAAUGAUUGACGACUAAUUUUUGGUUGUAAAAUUCUUUCGUUAAAAAUGAUAAUGACGUUAUUUAAAGAAGUUUUAGUCCCGGCUAAUCUCGUGCCAGCAGCCGCGGUAAUACGGGAGGGGCAAGCGUUAUCCGAAAUUACUGGGCGU